CCAGACAGCCAGGAUGUUGGCUUAGAAGCAGCCAUCAUUUAAAGAAAGCGUAAUAGCUCACUGGUCGAGUCGGCCUGCGCGGAAGAUGUAACGGGGCUAAACCAUGCACCGAAGCUGCGGCAGCGACGCUGAUGCGUUGUUGGGUAGGGGAGCGUUCUGUAAGCCUGUGAAGGUGGGCUGUGAGGGUUGCUGGAGGUAUCAGAAGUGCGAAUGCUGACAUAAGUAACGAUAAAGCGGGUGAAAAGCCCGCUCGCCGGAAGAC
RNAcentral lists this ribosomal RNA (262 nucleotides) under Salmonella enterica subsp. enterica serovar Lubbock. RNAcentral describes it as "partial 23S ribosomal RNA". It matches the Rfam family "Bacterial large subunit ribosomal RNA", at positions 1085 to 1345 of the family's 2925-position model. The record is from RNAcentral. Lineage: Bacteria; Pseudomonadati; Pseudomonadota; Gammaproteobacteria; Enterobacterales; Enterobacteriaceae.